GGGGGGGGGGGGGUGGGGGGGGGCGCGGCGCAGCACUGCGCCCCAGGUUGACGCAGGCGUUGUCCAAGGAAUCAGAACAGCAGACCUUGCACUUCUCCUGUGAUCUCCAUCACGAACUGCUCGAGAUCGUCCUCUUCAGAGACGAGUGCUUCCCCCGCCUCUGCGCAGCUCAGCUGCUGUGUCUCAGCUGCGUCUUGUGAGGAAUAGGAUGGUGCACUUGAGACCUCCGACUGUGCCACGGAGUCCGCCUGGCUUCCUGGAAGCAGUUCCAGGCUUGGGAGGACAAGGAAGAGAACAAUCAGUACGUGACAUCUCUAACUGGAGAAGCGCUUUCAGCAAGAAGUCGUCCUCUGCGAAAACCUGUUUACUGACUGAGCUACUUUUCCCCACGACUUACUCAGCAGAGAUUUUGAGUAAGCAAUUGAAAUCAUUUCAGAGGACCUGUUCCUUUGUUGGAUUAUGCCACGACACAUCUCAAACACCCCCUUCUCCCCCUGAUGUGAAAGAACUUAUGUCUAAUGGAAAAAGGGCACUGAUGAUGAACGAGUUGUGGUCAUCACCUGCUUGGAGGUGUUUCGACUGCAGGAAUGGUCACCAGGCUGUCCCCGGGCAGGGCUGGAACGAUGGCCUAGGAAGAAACAAGACAUUGUGUAUGAAGCACGGGACAAAGAUUCCUAGGUAACUUCUUUUCCCAGAGAAGCUGCGGAUGCCCCGUCCCUGGAGGCAUCCAAGGCCAGGCUGGAUGGGUUUCCAGGCACUUGGAUCUCGUGGCUGGCAACCCUGCUCACAGCAGGACAGGUGGAACACGAGAUGAUCUCUGAGGACUCCUCCUCCCUUCCCUCAGCCUGAGCUGAGCCUGAACCCAAAUACGGAACCACGCUGCUCCCGAAGGAAGCAUUCUCUUGAAGGUUACAAGCGACCUUGGGUGUUUUUCACAGCGCAGCAUCAAUGGACAAAAUCCUUCCCACCACAGAGCCAUCUCCGAAUCCUAGAAUCGCAGACUAUUACAGAGUCAUCACUGCUCUACAUCUGAUCAAAACAGGAAGUUUGCACAAGUAUCCUGUGAGACAUCUGCUGCCUUCAAAGGAAACAGGAGACCUGCAGAACAUUUGACACUCCUACGUUUCUUCAAGAGCAAUGUAAACAAACCUUCCGUAUCCGCUACUGCUUAGAACCCCCUGUUCUUACCGUAGGUAGUUUUUUAGCUGGGGGCUCAUCUGUGUCCUCAGCAGCAGAUGGAUGCAUCUCUGCUGCUUUUCGUUUCCGUUUCUGCUUGGGGGGGAAGGUGGUUUUCCAAUCAAUAGGCUUCACGGCCUCCUUGCGUCCACCUAGAGUCAAAGGAAGGGAGAGCUGGUAGAGUCCUGCUGUGCCUCGAGAGAGAUCCACGUUCUCUUAUCGUUCCCGCAACCCUUCCUCAAAGUUAAAUCCACUUGACCAGUGGAGUUACACUGCCACGUGCUGGAUUCUCAGCAAUGUCUUCCACACAGUCAUCUCUGUCUGCCAGCAGUGCAUACAGAGGAACCAAGAAACCCAAUGGCUGCGCCCAGGAAUACCCCAGGGCAAGGAAAACUCUGACACAGAGCAAUCCUAGGUGGCAGCGUUACUUUUCUGAGACGCCGUCACGAGCUCCCUGUGCUCACCCUUGACUCGUUUCUUGCAGGGCAAUUCUUUUACUUUUCCCUCCUCCUCCUCAGAUCGCUUGCGUUUUUUUUCCAGCCGGGCCAUGGGAGGAAGUUGGGAUGUCAACUGCAGGGAACAGUCCCAGGAAAGAACAAUCAGAACAGCUAAGCAGAAAGACAGUGCAUCAAGCCCAGAUGCCUGUUGAGUAUCUGUACCUCUCUUUGGUGCCUUCCCAGGCUUCUUGCCCAGACUUCCUGCAAGGCCGCUCUUCGGAGGAAGGCCACUGGCGUCAGCUUCUGGCAGAGAGAAAACAAGAAGUAAGUGAAGAGCAUCUCUUUGGAGGAAGGUUUCAACACAGUCAGCCACAAGCUUUAAGUUUUGGAAGUCUGUCCCUCAAGCAGCUCCCAUUCACCAUCAACUGCCAUUCUGAACCCACCUGCACAAAGUUAAUUUCAUUUCCGCUGCAAAUUGCUGCAGUCACCAAGGCACAGCCAGCUAUCCAGCUAGUGCCUUGGUAGCCUUGUUCCUCUGGUUUUCCAUCUUAGCCCGUAUCUCCCCCCGCCCCCUCCCACCCCCCCCCCCCCCCCCCAAAAAAAAAAACAACCACCAUUCAGACGGCCAAAACACAAACUAAUAUUUCUCUUAGCGUGGCUCUUCCCUGCACUCCCCACCAGUGAAUGGUUACUUGACAUCCCGCACCCGCUCAGAAGUAAUAUUCCAGAUUAAAUCUUUCACGCUUCGUGCCAUCAGAAACUCACUUUGGCUUGGUGGUACGGCCAGUCCGUUCCCACCGCGUUCCUUCAAGUGGAGAAAGGCGCAGUGGGCUUUCUGACAGCCUCCUGGUUGAUCCUCCCAAUAGCACGGAAUCUCACUGCGCUUCUUCUGAAGAGAGAAAGAAAGGAAGGGUCACGGAAACAGGCGCACGAGGUUUGCAAAGAGACGCAGCGUUCCGGGUCGUGCCAGAGAUGGGACCGUCACAGUGCUGAAACAUCACCUAUCACUAAAGGAAACACCUGGGAGCGCAUUCACAACACCUGCGUGAGCUGUAACCGCUCGGCAUAUUUCGCUUUCUCAUCCUUCAGGUAGAGGAGACAGGCGCUCUCAGUUCAGGGGGUUAAACCAAUACACCUGCUGCAAAAUGCUCCCGUUAUUCGGGAGAAACGGUGCCUUCAGGUGCCGUGGCGAAGUCCACCAGAAAUGAUCGGGCAGAGCCUUAGCUCUUGACCAUCAUCUCUCGCCCCACCCUUUGCUACUCCAAGCAGCCAGAGCACAGUUGUCUGAAGAAAUCCAGGGCAGACAAGGCCUGGUAGACCGCAAGCAAGCCCCGCUGGCAGGAGGGCAGUGCCCGCUCUUUCCUCCCACCCUGCUCCAGCAGGUGUAGGAGUCUGAGCAAUGCGGUCUUUUUGCACCUGGGGAAAAAAUGCCUUUGGCACCUAGCGCAAACAGCUCUCGCUAACAUAGAGCUGAGGCAUGGAGUUCUCUUCCCCCUGCCUCCUCCCGGUCCCCUCUAGAAACAGAAACCCCUAAGAUUUUCACAGCAAACGUAUCUAGCCUGCACAAGUGCAUUCCGCCCACCUACAGCAAUGAAAAGCGGUUUUGUGGCUAAGUUGGAGAGCACGUCUUUAGGCAAACACUCACAUCAAUUCUCAUGUGCCUGAACUUGCAGUUGCCACUGGAACAGCGACCCUCCACCCACAGCCGGCACACUUGUUCGCUCCCCAGAGCCGCUUCACAGUGGCGGAAGGGACAGCUGUCUCCCUGCACGCAAAAGGAAACCACACGGGAAAAUAAGAGUACGGCCUGAAACGUGCCCAUGCUAUCAGCCCAGCUUGUUAGCAGCGAGCGCAGAAUCCCACCGGUUGUGAAGGUAACGCAUCAGUGGUAGGUCUCCCCCUGCUCCACCCCUUUCUCUUACGAAUGAGGACAAGGAAGAAAAUGCAGGCAAAGGAAACCCAACCAUACCUUCGUGCAGGUGGAGUAGAAAUAGAAGUAGCAGUCGACUCCUCGCUGAGACAUGAUGAAAUUCUCAGAGCAAGCUCGGCUUCAGAGGAGUUCCCUGCUCUUGGAAAGAGCCGGACGCCCUCCUUCUUGGACUGCUUGGAUCCGCAAAAUCGCCUUUCCGACCGGGACCCUGAGGAAAGGGUCAAGAACCGGAAAAGAAUGAGGAAUAAGCAUUUCCCCAGCUUUCCUUUUAUGCAAUUUAGACUCUCGAGGAGGGCAGCGUCUCGGAAGCAGCUGGUUGAAGAACUGUGCCAACUCUAGAUCCAACUUGCGUCUAACUGCCACGACCUCUCCCAGCAAGUACUGUCCUCCAUCUCACCUACAGUUACAUAACUUGCAGCACACAUUUUGCGUUCCUGUCAUGAGAAUGAAUCCAUCUUCUCCCCUUGCUGCAGCUGCAAGGGAUGCACUGGUACGACUCACGUGUUUGACGAACCUACGGUUGUGGCUUACCCAGGCACAGCUGCAGGCCUUCUCCCUUCCAGCUAACACACCAGCCCGAUGGCUGAGCAACACCGUCAGCGAGAGCGGGCAGCACCCGUCAGCCACCACCACUCUCACUGCCAGCCGGGACGAGGGCUGACGCAGCGUGUCCGCACUCCUGCGCAGCGCUCACGGCUGUGGCACUCACUGGUGGCAGCCACGGCCCGAAAGACAGUGCUUGUGAGGUCACUGUGCUUGUGAUGUCACCGGACAGUCCGUGCCCCAGCUGAGCACUUGGCUCUCCACCGUGACUCGAGUGGGGUUUUGUUAAAAAUAUGCUGGAUACGGCACAGCCAGCCAUCGGUGGGUCAAUAAAGCACAAGUUGCACUCUG
This is a long non-coding RNA of Gallus gallus (chicken), 4437 nucleotides long. RefSeq lists it as uncharacterized. The record is from RefSeq and is a predicted model, not a curated record. The transcript has 2 exons. Lineage: Eukaryota; Metazoa; Chordata; Aves; Galliformes; Phasianidae.